This 606-nucleotide ribosomal RNA is filed under the name uncultured bacterium. RNAcentral describes it as "bacterial SSU rRNA". The stretch from base 1 to 518 matches the Rfam family "Bacterial small subunit ribosomal RNA", at positions 338 to 873 of the family's 1533-position model. The record is from RNAcentral.
CCUACGGGAGGCAGCAGUGGGGAAUCUUGCGCAAUGGGCGAAAGCCUGACGCAGCCAUGCCGCGUGAAUGAUGAAGGUCUUAGGAUUGUAAAAUUCUUUCACCGGGGACGAUAAUGACGGUACCCGGAGAAGAAGCCCCGGCUAACUUCGUGCCAGCAGCCGCGGUAAUACGAAGGGGGCUAGCGUUGCUCGGAAUUACUGGGCGUAAAGGGAGCGUAGGCGGAUAGUUUAGUCAGAGGUGAAAGCCCAGGGCUCAACCUUGGAAUUGCCUUUGAUACUGGCUAUCUUGAGUUUGGGAGAGGUGAGUGGAACUCCGAGUGUAGAGGUGAAAUUCGUAGAUAUUCGGAAGAACACCAGUGGCGAAGGCGACUCACUGGCCCAAUACUGACGCUGAGGCUCGAAAGCGUGGGGAGCAAACAGGAUUAGAUACCCUGGUAGUCCACGCCGUAAACGAUGAGUGCUAGUUGUCGGCAUGCAUGCAUGUCGGUGACGCAGCUACGACAUUAAGACACUCCGCCGUCGGGGAGGUACGGUCGGCGAAGAAUUAAAACUUAAAAGUAAGUAGUAGACGCGAGAGACGCGACGACGACGACGACGGAGGAGGAG